GAUGAAGAACGCAGCGAAAUGCGAUAAGUAAUGUGAAUUGCAGAAUUCAGUGAAUCAUCGAAUCUUUGAACGCACAUUGCGCCCUCUGGUAUUCCGGGGGGCAUGCCUGUUCGAGCGUCAUUAUAACCACUCAAGCUCUCGCAUGGUAUUGGAGUUCGCGAUCUCGCGGCUCCUAAAAUCAGUGGCGGUGCCUGUCGGCUCUACGCGUAGUAAUACUCCUCGCGAUUGAGUCCGGUAGGUUUACUUGCCAGCAACCCCCAAUUUUUACAGGUUGACCUCGGAUCAGGUAGGGAUACCCGCUGAACUUAAGCAUAUCAAUAAGCGGAGGA
Molecule: unclassified non-coding RNA, 329 nt
Filed under: soil metagenome
Description: partial contains 5.8S ribosomal RNA, internal transcribed spacer 2, and large subunit ribosomal RNA
Rfam family: 5.8S ribosomal RNA (bases 1-120)
Source: RNAcentral